AAAUCUCUUCACAGGCGCAUUGAAGAUAUCGAGAAGGCGAAGGUCUCAGAACAAGCGCAUCUGCCGGAGGAUGGUCGUGGAUGGGCUUCGCCUCGCCAGCUACGACGCAACCAUUUGCAAGUCUCAACGGCAUAAAGAUCCCUCUUUUCCUGCAAGGGAGUAUGAGUACGUCGACGUAGUGGUAGCGGCCGCCGGAGGCUGGCAGGUUCAUCUGAUGGACGCGGACUUCAAGUCGGAUUUCGAGGUGGCGUGGCCGAACAAGUCUGACGGCUCCGUCAUCCAAACCCCUCCUGUCGCUGUUCAUUGGCCGAUCCGAUAGGCUCCAGCGGAUCGUCGCUCUCGUGCCGGCCGCGGCAUGACCAAGCGCACCCCGUAGAAGCCCAAGAUGAGAGCAGCUCCGGCGGCGGCGGCAUUAUUCUCCGGCCGAUCUCUGCCUUCAAAGUUUCCAGCAAGUUCAAAGGCUCUGACGGGGAAGACGAGACCAAUUAUUAACAAAAGACCCCCCAACUUUCUUUAUUAUCUCACUCUCCCUCUUUAUUUUAUUGUGCCGUGGCAGUUUCACUAUAUUAUAAUAAAGGAACCGCACACUUCCCCUACUCCUACCACACCACCAAACCCUUUCUCUUUCCCACGCACUCCUUCAUCCCCUCCAUGCUUUAUGAGCCCCCCUCCUCUCCGCAUCUCCUCGCGCAAUCGCCAUGGCGGGUCAGGUCCCGCCGCCACCCCCGGAGGGGCUAGGUGAUGACUUCCUGGAGCAGAUCUUUGCCAUGCCCUCGUCCUACGGAACCGGGGACGAGGCUGCGCUCGCCGCCAGCAUGGCACGCUGCCGCAGCUCCGCCGAUGGACCAUCCGCUUCUGGUGGUGGCAUGGCGUUCCCUCUGGGGCUGAGCUUGGAGCAGGGUUCGUCUGUUGGGAAUCGGCUCCACGAGGGGAUCGACCGCAAGGCGGUGAGCGCGUCACUUUCUCCUAUUGUUUUGACCGGGUUUGAGCGUUCGACGAAACGAUGGGCGUGUCGAAUCCCAUGUCUUUUGCUUCAAGUUGAUCGUUUGUCGUUACCGAUGAGUUGGGAAUUAUCGGCGUCUCUGUGGAGCAGGAGAGAGAGUCGAUGCAGUUGGCAGGAUUGCUUUCGCCGGGUUUUGGCCAACUCCGCCCUCAUCAAGUCCAGCCAACUCCUCCUCCUCCGCAGGUGGUUGAUCUUCCAUGGUCAAGUGAAGCAAGGUGGAAUCACAGCAGCUCCACGACCGAAGGUGCGAGCAAGGCGUGGUCAAGCCUCAGACCCUCAUAGCAUUGCUGAGCGGAGAGAACGAAUAGCAGAAAGGCUAAGAGCUUUGCAAGAAUUGGUUCCCAACACAAAUAAGACUGAUAGAGCAGCAAUGCUUGAUGAGAUUCUAGACUAUGUUAAAUUUUUGAGGCUUCAAGUGAAGGUAAAUAUCUAUCAUUCCCCAUAAAAUUAAUCCUUCUAGUUGGUUUUAUGAAAGAAAAUACAUUGCUUGCCCUUGAAAAAGAUUCUUAGACAAUGACCUUGCACUCCCUUUUCUUUUAGAUUUGUGUACUGGCUCACCAGUUUUGUCCUUCUGAAAUAACAAACUUAAGUGUGCUCUUGUGGUUCCAAUUGCUUCAAGCAUUGUUUACAUUUAGGGGUAUUUAACAAUGCACGGUACUUUGGUAUCUCAUAUUCAUCUAAGAUCCAAAGAAAAAACACAAUGGAGAUGGACUACUAUAUUUUUUUUUUCUCAAUUGAUGACUGACAUGGAGAUCUUGACCUUCAUAACUUGAUGAAGGUUUAGACUGUAUUCCAUGGUACCUGAUAAGCCCCUAUUUUUUCUUGCCAUGUUUGUGUCUUGGUGAAGGUUAAGGCCAUUUUCAACGAUUUAGACUGGGCAUAUCUCAUUCGACCUAGGCACCUUUAUACAGGAAUGCAUUUCUGCAGUACGUUUGCUGUUAGGAAGCAACUCUCUCUCCUAAAUGGCUUGUGGAACAAGUUAUAUUUUUUGUUCACUACAUCUUUGUUUUAUUUUCACAAGCUCGAAUUCCUAGUUGCCUCAUGAUAAUUCUUGUGUUCAUAUAAUUACAUUCAGAAUCACUCUUUUUAAAUAUAUUGAUGGUUUGCUCUAAAUGGAAAGUUGGAAAUUUCAUUAUACAAAUGUGUUUAUCCACUGAAUCAUGUUCUAAGCAUGAGCAAACUAGGUGGUGCUGGUGCUGUUGCACAGCUGGUAGCUGAAAUCCCUGUGCCGAUGGAGGUGUCAUGAAGUGAUUGGAAUCACUGCAAAUCCAGGACUUUCAAGUUAAUUUAAGCAACAUGAAGAGCGACUAUGUUUGUGCUUCUUGAAUUGACUUUAAUGGUCCGCAUACACAGGCAUCUGUUUCCUUUGAAUUUUCUCAUACAUAUAAAUUUGUUGGAGAAUUCUGUUUGAAGUUUUCAGCUUCUGACUUAACUUCAAAGCACUUUUGUGACAACUGUAAUUGGAUUUCCAUGUUUCUCCAAAAUUGAUGUGAAGUACUUCCAAAUCAUAAUGUUCUCACACCAUAUUUGUUUUCUAAAGGUUUCUUAAUAUUUUCUAGACAUUCAUUAUGACUGCUUGAAUCUCAGUUUUCCAUGUCUAUCUUGUUCAGCUUCUAGGAAUCAAUUUCAUGCAAUUCCAUGGAAUUUAGUCAUAUUUCUAUCUGAUAACAUAGUGAAUUUGCUGUUUAAGGGUGAAACUAGUGCUGGCGGUAGCACACUACAUAUUUGGGAGAAAUGGUCGACCGAUGGCACAGAAAGGCAAGUUGCAAAGCUCAUGGAAGAAGAUAUCGGAGCUGCAAUGCAAUUCCUCCAGUCCAAAGCCCUCUGCAUUAUG
Molecule: RNA transcript, 2837 nt
Organism: Zingiber officinale
Lineage: Eukaryota; Viridiplantae; Streptophyta; Magnoliopsida; Zingiberales; Zingiberaceae
Gene name: transcription factor UNE12-like
Exons: 5
Source: RefSeq, a predicted model, not a curated record